UGGCGGCCAUGUUGUAUCCGCGGCGGACUGGAGGCUGUUCGGAACCGAGUCUGUCUUCAGUCAGGAGUAUACGGUGGGGCUCUCGGGCUUGAACUCGUCUGGGCUUUACACCAUUUGGGACCUACUCUCCUCGCCAUGAGCCGUCCGUCCUCUGCGGGUGGUGCGGCCGGAGGACUCGGAGCUGGUAAAGCAGGAGGAAGUAAGCAUGGAGGUUCUGGAGGAACAACCGCCUCUGCUGCAGCCGCGGCGGCAGCAGCAGUCGCCGCGGGGGUAUCCGGCUCUGUCGCGGGCUCUGUUACGGUACCCGCGGCCGCUGUAUCCCUUCCAGCCGCUGCCCUAGCAGGACAGUCAGCCGAACUGACGGCGCUGUUUGAGUGCCCGGUGUGUUUUGACUAUGUGCUGCCUCCGAUCUUGCAGUGCCAGGCUGGGCAUUUGGUGUGUAACCAAUGUCGGCAAAAGCUCAGCUGUUGUCCAACUUGUCGCGGCCCUCUCACGCCGAGCAUAAGGAACUUGGCAAUGGAAAAAGUUGCAUCUACUCUGCCGUUUCCGUGUAAGUAUGCCUCAGCUGGAUGUCUGCUGUCCCUCCACCACAGCGAGAAGCCAGAGCAUGAAGAAGUCUGUGAGUUCCGCCCGUACACCUGCCCAUGCCCCGGGGCUUCCUGUAAAUGGCAGGGCUCCCUGGAGGCCGUCAUGCCACAUCUCAUGCAUGCCCACAAAUCCAUUACCACCUUACAGGGCGAGGACAUUGUCUUUCUGGCCACGGAUAUUAAUCUACCGGGGGCUGUGGACUGGGUCAUGAUGCAGUCAUGUUUCGGGCACCACUUCAUGCUUGUUCUAGAGAAGCAGGAGAAAUACGAGGGACACCAGCAGUUCUUUGCCAUCGUGCUGCUCAUUGGCACGCGAAAGCAAGCGGAGAACUUUGCCUACCGCCUCGAGUUGAACGGCAACCGUAGGCGGCUCACAUGGGAGGCCACGCCACGCUCAAUUCAUGAUGGCGUAGCAGCGGCCAUCAUGAACAGUGACUGUCUUGUAUUUGAUACCUCUAUUGCCCACCUGUUUGCAGACAACGGCAACCUGGGUAUCAACGUUACCAUCUCUGUGUGCUGAGGUGGCAGUGUAAGGCUUUAUCCAGUGACCCAAACCUAGGACAACCCCUGCUCCCUAUCAGACUGCAGGUUCUGAAGGCAAUGGCUGGGAGAUGUAUACAUUUGUGUAUAUUUCUGUUCAAGAGUCAUACGCUAAAAUAGCUCACACUUUCCAGAUUCACUAGUGGGUUAGUAUGCUAGAUGGAUGGCAAGAGUCCUUCUCGAGAUGAAGAUGCACUGAGUGUGCAGGUGUUAGCUAUCAGUUGAAGGCAUUGGUGCAAUUGAGAAUUUCUUUUGCCCACCCCAAGGAUACAAACACCUCAACUUUCUGAUUACACCUUCGAUAAAAGGUCAGGUGUGGAUGACCACCAUCGCAGAAUCAAAAUGCUAACUUAGGAAGAGUCUAGGCAUGAAGGUGUAACAUUUGCCUCAGAAGCUUAUAAAACCUGUGUACAAAAACUGCACUGACUACUUUGGUUUUCGUCUUUGGAUAUUGAGUGAAACCAUGGAAAUAGUUCAUGGCAAUGUAAAUGGUAAAUUCACGGUUGUAUAUUGGUUUGAUAAAACAAUGCCCAUGAUGGAAAUGCGGUGUACAUGGUGGAAAUAAAAUACACUUGCAAAAAUCACUACAUAGCCACCAUGUUUGUAAGGCAAGAAUCUGACCUCUUCAUUAAAUUUUUUCCUUUCUUUAAAAAAAACAAACAAAAAAAACAUUUGCCAUCAAUGUUGCAAGACGUAAAUAAGGACAAUAAUAAAGUUUGUUAUUUUGGGGUCCUCUGUCAAAACUCAUCCAGAGGAGAGAAUUGGUUUGUGAUCAACACGGAUAUUGAUCAUAAGCUCCAUAAAAUGACAGAACUACAGCCAACCUUUUCAAAUUUUGUUACCCAUGAUCUAAUGCCACAUAUUCAUAGAUAUAUUUGUAUAUGAUUCUUGAUUUAUUUAUUUUUUAAAGGGAUAGUUGACCUAUAAAUGAUAAAUCUAUUAUUUAGUUACCCUCAUGUUUUAUAACACUUAUUUGUGGAGCACCAACGGAGAAGUUUAGUAGAAUAUCUCAGCUGUUCUCUUUCAGUACAAUGUACGUGGAUGGGACUAGGGCUUGUCAAGCUACAAAAAAAGCACCAUAAACGCAGACCAUACAACCUGU
RNA transcript from Sinocyclocheilus grahami, 2229 nucleotides. It is a transcript of the gene named E3 ubiquitin-protein ligase Siah2-like, with no coding region annotated. NCBI's taxonomy places the organism in Eukaryota, Metazoa, Chordata, Actinopteri, Cypriniformes, Cyprinidae. The transcript is spliced from 3 exons. The record is from RefSeq and is a predicted model, not a curated record.